GGACUACCGGGGUAUCUAAUCCCGUUCGCUCCCCUGGCUUUCGCACCUCAGCGUCAGACACGAGCCAGGACACUGCCUUCGCCUUGGUGUUCCUCCGGAUCUCUACGCAUGUCACUGCUCCACCCGGAAUUCCAUGUCCCUCUCUCGCUCUCAAGUCCACCAGUUUUCGCAAUCGUUCCCCGGUUAAGCCGGGGAGUGUCACUGCGAACUUGGCGAACCGCCUGCGUGCGCUUUACGCCCAAUAAUUCUGGAUAACGCUCGCCCCCUACGUAUUACCGCGGCUGCUGGCAC
Molecule: ribosomal RNA, 291 nt
Filed under: uncultured bacterium
Lineage: Bacteria
Description: partial 16S ribosomal RNA
Source: RNAcentral